UGAACUGGAGCACAGAUGGACAGCGGUGAGGAGGUUCACUGGUCUCAGGCCUGGAAACCUGUAGCCUCUCCCCCAGAGUCCAAACCCUGGAAACAUCAGUGGAUUUUCAUAAAGUGCCUUUUGCUAAUUUGCUGUCUCAUCCUCGGUUUCCCCUUCCCCCUGCUCCCUCGACUGAAGCCUUUUUUGCUCCGCCAGCCGAGCGUCCAGACAUAAGCAGAUUACUGUGGGAGAUCCAGAGUGAUGGAAUGGCAGGGGUCCAAGAAGAACGCU
Long non-coding RNA from Astyanax mexicanus (Mexican tetra), 270 nucleotides. RefSeq lists it as uncharacterized. The record is from RefSeq and is a predicted model, not a curated record. NCBI's taxonomy places the organism in Eukaryota, Metazoa, Chordata, Actinopteri, Characiformes, Acestrorhamphidae. The transcript has 3 exons.